UACGUAGGUGGCAAGCGUUGUCCGGAUUUAUUGGGUUUAAAGGGUGCGUAGGCGGUUCUAUAAGUCAGUGGUGAAAUCCGGCAGCUCAACUGUCGAUGUGCCAUUGAUACUGCAGAACUUGAGUACAGACGAGGUAGGCGGAAUUGACGGUGUAGCGGUGAAAUGCUUAGAUAUCGUCAAGAACACCGAUAGCGAAGGCAGCUUACUAGACUGUAACUGACGCUGAUGCACGAA
RNAcentral lists this ribosomal RNA (234 nucleotides) under uncultured bacterium. RNAcentral's name for it is "partial 16S ribosomal RNA". It matches the Rfam family "Bacterial small subunit ribosomal RNA", at positions 524 to 757 of the family's 1533-position model. The record is from RNAcentral.